UCUACGGAUAAGUAUUUCACUCGUAUUAUUAAAGUAAUCACAAAUAAUAUUAUCCAAGACUCAUAUUACCGCACAGGCUUUGGCUAGCACACCCGAUGAAGAGGAACUAUCGAAUCUCAAAGAUCAGUAUUAUGCAAUUGUCGUCGAUAAAAAUGGCGCUAUUAGUCUUGAGGAAAUGAAAGAGAUAUGCAGAUAUGCUGAUUCGUGACACAAAACUGAAGCAGAUAAUUGAAGAAUUUGUUAAGCCACAAGUCACAACAAAGGAAGAGACAUGGUGAUUUUUGUGUGGGGAUUCGGAGGGCGAAGAGGGGUUUCGGAAGGAGGUUUGUCGAGUCGAAUUGUUCCUGGUGGAAUGCUGCGGUUAGCGGGUUUGGGAAUUCCGGGAAGGUGAGUGAUAUGGGUAAAUGAUCAGUGGUUUAGAUGGCAGUGGAUGGAGAUGUUGUUAGGAAUCAGUGGAUCCAUCAACAGUGGAUGAACAACAGAGGUUGUUAAUAACAGUGGAUUAGCAGCAGAGGUGGUUAGCUAACAGUGGAUCAGCAACAGAGGUUGUUAGUUAACAGGGGUUAGCAACAGAGGUUGUUAGUUAGUUGGGCGGUUACAAGGGUAGUUAGU
Molecule: long non-coding RNA, 612 nt
Filed under: Helianthus annuus (common sunflower)
Lineage: Eukaryota; Viridiplantae; Streptophyta; Magnoliopsida; Asterales; Asteraceae
Source: RNAcentral